AUUGCCCCAGUAACGGCGAGUGAAGCGGCAAGAGCUCAAAUUUGAAAUCUGGCCUCCCCCGGGGGCCCGAGUUGUAAUUUGCAGAGGAUGCUUCGGGUGCGGCCGCCGUCUAAGUUCCUUGGAACAGGACGUCAGAGAGGGUGAGAAUCCCGUCUUGGGCGGGCGGUCCGCGCCCGUGUGAAGCUCCUUCGACGAGUCGAGUUGUUUGGGAAUGCAGCUCUAAGCGGGUGGUAAAUUUCAUCUAAAGCUAAAUAUUGGCCGGAGACCGAUAGCGCACAAGUAGAGUGAUCGAAAGGUUAAAAGCACCUUGAAAAGGGAGUUAAACAGCACGUGAAAUUGUUGAAAGGGAAGCGCUUGCGGCCAGAUUCGGGGGCGGGGUUCAGCGGGUGCUCGUCGCCCGUGUAUUCCUCGUCUCCCGGGCCAGCAUCAGUUUCGACGGCCGGUCAAAGGCCCCCGGAAUGUGUCGUCUCUCGGGACGUCUUAUAGCCGGGGGUGCAAUGCGGCCCGUCGGGACUGAGGAACGCGCUCCGGCUCGGAUGCUGGC
Molecule: ribosomal RNA, 544 nt
Filed under: Trichophyton mentagrophytes
Lineage: Eukaryota; Fungi; Ascomycota; Eurotiomycetes; Onygenales; Arthrodermataceae
Description: eukaryotic LSU rRNA
Rfam family: Eukaryotic large subunit ribosomal RNA
Source: RNAcentral